UGAUGUCUGAUUUCUAAGCACUUGGUGUCGU
Molecule: non-coding RNA, 31 nt
Filed under: Mus musculus (house mouse)
Lineage: Eukaryota; Metazoa; Chordata; Mammalia; Rodentia; Muridae
Source: RNAcentral